Molecule: ribosomal RNA, 489 nt
Filed under: uncultured bacterium
Lineage: Bacteria
Description: bacterial SSU rRNA
Rfam family: Bacterial small subunit ribosomal RNA
Source: RNAcentral
AGAAUUGAUCUGGUCAGGACGAACGCUGGCGGCGUGCCUAACACAUGCAAGUCGAGCGAGGAGAUCCUCGGGAUGAUCCUAGCGGCGGACGGGUGAGUAACACGUGGGCAACCUGCCUCAUAGAGAGGAAUAGCCUUCCGAAAGGGAGAUUAAUACCUCAUAACAUUGCAGUUUCGCAUGGAACAGCAAUUAAAGGAGUAAUCCGCUAUGAGAUGGGCCCGCGGCGCAUUAGCUAGUUGGUGAGGUAACGGCUCACCAAGGCGACGAUGCGUAGCCGACCUGAGAGGGUGAUCGGCCACAUUGGGACUGAGACACGGCCCAGACUCCUACGGGAGGCAGCAGUGGGGAAUAUUGCACAAUGGGGGAAACCCUGAUGCAAGCAACGCCGCGUGAGUGAUGACGGCCUUCGGGUUGUAAAGCUCUGUCUUCAGGGACGAUAAUGACGGUACCUGAGGAGGAAGCCACGGCUAACUACGUGCCAGCCGCUGC